CUUAUAUAUAUAUGAGAAGCAUUAUGGAUGGGAUGUGAACAAGAGCUGGGCAGAGGGUGCACACCCAGAUGCUGUCUUGGCCAGGUCAUUUUCAUAGCUGGGCGAGGAGACGCUGAGAUGAACUACAGCUGGUAGCUGGCUCCCUGCUGGGAUGUGCAUUCAGAUCUCCAUCCCUGGCUUCCAAAGACUCUACCUGCUACCCAGGAUUUGAAACUUUUAAUGUAGGUCAUCCGACCAAGUGGAAAGAACCACAGCAUCCCUUUAUAAUGGAAAGCCAAGGCUACUACUUUAAUUCUGUACCUGAUCACGUGCACUGGCCAUUAGGAUCACUUUGUGUGGGCCACUAGGAAACGCACAGCCAAAUCGGCACCCCACCCUUACUUAUUAAGUACAUAAAUCAUUAGGCCGCAUGUAACUUGUGUGUCAACCUCACUACUGGCUUAAUCUUGAUUCUAUACCCUUAUUUUUCUUUCAUUCCCUCUUUUCUGAUUUAAAAAAAAUAGUGUAUUUGACAUAUAAUGUAUUUGGGAAUAAAGUACAAUACAAAGAAAUAAACUUUCUGCCCAAACAAGGCAGCAUG
Long non-coding RNA from Suricata suricatta (meerkat), 580 nucleotides. RefSeq lists it as uncharacterized. The transcript is spliced from 3 exons. Lineage: Eukaryota; Metazoa; Chordata; Mammalia; Carnivora; Herpestidae. The record is from RefSeq and is a predicted model, not a curated record.